AUUACAAUCUAGAAUCACAAACCUUUAAAUCUUGCCUAAUUUGCUCAAAAGUGCUUGUUCUGACAUGAUGAGAAUGGAAUUCGAGGGUUUUUAAUUGACCGUUUGAUCAACCUGGAUAGUUAUAUUAGGUUGUACAGACCAUGUCUGAGCCAAAAGUCAAAAGACGAAAAGUGAGGGAAGAUAAAGAGAGUAAAAAGUCUGAGCUGGAAGAAACAUUCGGGGUUAGGUUUAACCCUGGUAUGCAACUACUGUGGACUUGGUCUCUCAAUCAAUCUCCUGAGGACCCACUAAAUAGUCUGCACUCACUACUGAAUCUCAAGCUAUGUGGUCCGUUCCGCUACCUCCAGAAAUCGACCACGAACACAGAGAACACAGCGUCGAACACUGACAGCACAGCGCCAAGUGACGCAGUUGAUUUGCACAUGUUAGAUAGAGAGUGGCAAUGUCCUCCCGAGUUUCAACCUUGUGCACAGAACCACACUCACUUGUUUGGAUUGUGGAGGGACACCCCUUGGGAGCGGCCAACAUUUGUUGUAGAGAAACGGAAGGGUGAUCACGGUGCUAUAACACCUGUUGCAAUGGACACACUGACCUAAUAAGGGUUUUAAGCAAGAAACGAAAAGUUGAUCUACCUAAAGAUCUGAAAAAGCUGAUUGAAGCCCACGCUUCUACGAAAGAUUUGAAAAAAGUAGAAACUACAAGGAGGAAAAGUGUCGUUGCUAAGACAUUUAACAAGAUUGGGAUAGUUGUGCUGGUUGGUAAGAAUGACGUGGGAUAUCGACCAUUAACCAUGAGUUACUCCGAGCUUGACGCCAUGCUGACAAAAAGUUGUGAAACAGAUGAUGAGGCGAAGAAAGAUAAAAUACUGGCUCCAUUUGAUGAGUGUAUGAACUACAUUCAGUUCGCAAACGAUGAGUGUGAUUACGGAAUGGGCUUCGAGUUGGGAAUGUGUGUCUUAGCACAUAAAACAAGUCGGAACUUCAUGGGAACCAUAUCGUCUCUGCUACCUCUGGCAUACGAUCUGCUCGGUAGAAAACUCUUCUCUAAAAUCAUGAAGCGGAUUUGUGAAAAAGAAGAAGCUCAGCCAACUAAUUGAGAAGGAGGCGGUUGAUUGAGGUAAUGGUGAAUGUGGGAUGGAGAAUGAGAAAUUUGUUCAGCACGUUUUUAUGAAUGCUUGAAGUAUAAUUUAUCAUUACAAUAAAUUUAUUUGCUGUCAAUGAAAUUAGCAAACAUCAAACUUUGUAUUCGUCAGUUUUUAACUAUUGUUUUUAAAUGUUAUAUUAUCUAUUUGAAUUAACUUUUGUCA
Molecule: RNA transcript, 1306 nt
Organism: Bolinopsis microptera
Lineage: Eukaryota; Metazoa; Ctenophora; Tentaculata; Lobata; Bolinopsidae
Gene name: putative histone PARylation factor 1-like
Exons: 10
Source: RefSeq, a predicted model, not a curated record